AACGCCGGCGGCGUGCCUGAAUACAUGCAAGGUAGAACGGUUGGAAGGAGGAGCUUGCUCUUCUGAUGAGUUGCGAACGGGUGAGUAACGCGUAGGUAACCUGCCUGGUAGCGGGCGAUAACUAUUGGAAACGAUAGCUAAUACCGCAUAAUAGUAGAUGUUGCAUGACAUUUGCUUAAAAGGUGCAAUUGCAUCACUACCAUGAUGGACCUGCGUUGUAUUAGCUAGUUGGUGAGGUAACGGCUCACCAAGGCAACGAUACAUAGCCGACCUGAGAGGGUGAUCGCCCACACUGGGACUGAGACACGGCCCAGACUCCUACGGGAGGCAGCAGUAGGGAAUCUUCGGCAAUGGACGGAAGUCUGACCGAGCAACGCCGCGUGAGUGAAGAAGGUUUUCGGAUCGUAAAGCUCUGUUGUAAGAGAAGAACGAGUGUGAGAGUGGUU
RNAcentral lists this ribosomal RNA (446 nucleotides) under Streptococcus sp. oral taxon 064. RNAcentral describes it as "bacterial SSU rRNA". It matches the Rfam family "Bacterial small subunit ribosomal RNA", at positions 32 to 465 of the family's 1533-position model. The record is from RNAcentral. Lineage: Bacteria; Bacillati; Bacillota; Bacilli; Lactobacillales; Streptococcaceae.